GCAUAAGGAGGAACCUGAACUCUGAUGCAGACACUUUGCAGAAAGCUCUUGGCAAGUAGUCAAAUUGUUGGAAGGGAAGAUGUUCCUAUCACAGAAUGAGCUGAGAAAUGAGGAGCCAGUGAGAAGCAGGACUGGCAUUUCAAAUAGUGCCCUGGAAUCUGGAUAGCAGAUCUAACAGCCAUGGAAAUUCCUGCUAAUCUUACCCUUCCUCAGCUAUAGGCACGUUUCAGAGGGUGAAGUCAGGAGACCUCCCAAGGGAUUUUCCUGGCUGUGAGCUCGUGUUAAAGGGAUGAACAGGAGAAAAUUAUAAGAGGAUCCUUCCCAAGUUAA
Long non-coding RNA from Pseudopipra pipra, 330 nucleotides. RefSeq lists it as uncharacterized. NCBI's taxonomy places the organism in Eukaryota, Metazoa, Chordata, Aves, Passeriformes, Pipridae. The record is from RefSeq and is a predicted model, not a curated record. The transcript is spliced from 3 exons.